AUCGAUGUAGCUCAACGGUCUCAACGGAAGAGCUCCCGAAAGGGAAGGUGGUGGUUCGAUUCUACCCAUCGAUA
RNAcentral lists this transfer RNA (74 nucleotides) under Phytophthora megakarya. It matches the Rfam family "tRNA". From Rfam's summary of the family: Transfer RNA (tRNA) molecules are approximately 80 nucleotides in length. Their secondary structure includes four short double-helical elements and three loops (D, anti-codon, and T loops). Further hydrogen bonds mediate the characteristic L-shaped molecular structure. tRNAs have two regions of fundamental functional importance: the anti-codon, which is responsible for specific mRNA codon recognition, and the 3' end, to which the tRNAs corresponding amino acid is attached (by aminoacyl-tRNA synthetases). tRNAs cope with the degeneracy of the genetic code in two manners: having more than one tRNA (with a specific anti-codon) for a particular amino acid; and 'wobble' base-pairing, i.e. permitting non-standard base-pairing at the 3rd anti-codon position. The record is from Rfam by way of RNAcentral. Lineage: Eukaryota; Oomycota; Peronosporomycetes; Peronosporales; Peronosporaceae.